RNAcentral lists this ribosomal RNA (253 nucleotides) under uncultured bacterium. Its description in RNAcentral is "partial 16S ribosomal RNA". It matches the Rfam family "Bacterial small subunit ribosomal RNA", at positions 524 to 776 of the family's 1533-position model. The record is from RNAcentral.
UACGUAGGGGGCUAGCGUUGUCCGGAAUCAUUGGGCGUAAAGCGCGUGUAGGCGGUCCGGUAAGUCCGCUGUGAAAGUCGGGGGCUCAACCCUCGAAUGCCGGUGGAUACUGUCGGGCUUGAGUGCGGGAGAGGCGAGUGGAAUUCCUGGUGUAGCGGUGAAAUGCGCAGAUAUCAGGAGGAACACCGAUUGCGAAGGCAGCUCGCUGGAACGUUACUGACGCUGAGACGCGAAAGCGUGGGGAGCAAACAGG